CUACGGGGUGCAGCAGUGGGGAAUAUUGGACAAUGGGGGAAACCCUGAUCCAGCAAUGCCGCGUGUGUGAAGAAGGCCUGCGGGUUGUAAAGCACUUUCGGUUGGGAGGACUGCUUCUAGCACUAAUAUUGUUGGAAGUUGACGUUACCUUCAGAAGAAGCGCCGGCUAACUCCGUGCCAGCAGCCGCGGUAAUACGGAGGGUGCAAGCGUUAAUCGGAAUUACUGGGCGUAAAGCGCGCGUAGGCGGCUAGAUCAGUCGGGUGUGAAAGCCCCGGGCUUAACCUGGGAACUGCAUCCGAUACUGUCUAGCUUGAGUACAGGAGAGGAGAGUGGAAUUCCACAUGUAGCGGUGAAAUGCGUAGAUAUGUGGAGGAACACCAAUGGCGAAGGCAGCUCUCUGGCCUGAUACUGACGCUGAGGUGCGAAAGCGUGGGGAGCAAGCAGGAUUAGAUACCCGCGUAGUC
RNAcentral lists this ribosomal RNA (465 nucleotides) under uncultured bacterium. RNAcentral's name for it is "partial 16S ribosomal RNA". It matches the Rfam family "Bacterial small subunit ribosomal RNA", at positions 339 to 795 of the family's 1533-position model. The record is from RNAcentral.